UACGUAGGGUGCAAGCGUUGUCCGGAAUUAUUGGGCGUAAAGGGUGCGUAGGCGGCGGGGUAAGUCAGGUGUGAAAUCUCGGGGCUCAACCCCGAAACUGCACUUGAUACUGCCUCGCUUGAGUACUGGAGAGGAGACUGGAAUUUACGGUGUAGCAGUGAAAUGCGUAGAUAUCGUAAGGAAGACCAGUGGCGAAGGCGAGUCUCUGGACAGUUACUGACGCUGAGGCACGAAGGCCAGGGGAGCAAACGGG
RNAcentral lists this ribosomal RNA (253 nucleotides) under uncultured prokaryote. RNAcentral describes it as "partial 16S ribosomal RNA". It matches the Rfam family "Bacterial small subunit ribosomal RNA", at positions 524 to 776 of the family's 1533-position model. The record is from RNAcentral.